This 554-nucleotide ribosomal RNA is filed under the name Cicindela lagunensis. Its description in RNAcentral is "partial 16S ribosomal RNA". The stretch from base 121 to 484 matches the Rfam family "Bacterial large subunit ribosomal RNA", at positions 2073 to 2647 of the family's 2925-position model. The record is from RNAcentral. Lineage: Eukaryota; Metazoa; Arthropoda; Insecta; Coleoptera; Carabidae.
AGGUAGCAUAAUUAUUAGUUUUUUAAUUGAAAGCUUGUAUGAAGGGUUGGACGAGAUAAAAUCUGUCUUUAUUUAAAUUAUUAUAGAAUUUAACUUUUAAGUCAAAAGGCUUAAAUGUAUGUAAAAGACGAGAAGACCCUAUAGAUCUUUAUUUAACUAAUAUUUUGAUAAUUUAGGAUUAUUUUAGUUUAAAGUUUUAGUUAAAUUUUAUUGGGGUAAUAUAAAGAUUAAAUAAAUUCUUUUUAUUUAUUACAUUGAUUUAUGAAUAUAUGAUCCGAUAUUAUUGAUUAUAAGAUUAAGUUACCUUAGGGAUAACAGCGUAAUUUUUUUGGAGAGCUCAUAUCGAUAAAAAAGUUUGCGACCUCGAUGUUGGAUUAAAAAUUAGCUUGGGUGCAGAAGCUCAAGAUUUUGGUCUGUUCGACCAUUAAAUUUUUACAUGAUCUGAGUUCAGACCGGCGUAAGCCAGGUCGGUUUCUAUCUUUACUUAUCUAAAAUAUUUUAGUACGAAAGGACCAAAUAUUUAAUAUAAUUAUAUUUAUUUUUUGAAUAAUAUU